CUCAGGCACGGGUAAUACUAGGGUUGCCACCCGUCCCGUAAAAUACGGAACCGUCCCAUAUUUGGCUGUUAAAUGUAGCGUCCCGAAACGGAUGAACC
Long non-coding RNA from Poecilia latipinna (sailfin molly), 98 nucleotides. RefSeq lists it as uncharacterized. The transcript is spliced from 3 exons. The record is from RefSeq and is a predicted model, not a curated record. Lineage: Eukaryota; Metazoa; Chordata; Actinopteri; Cyprinodontiformes; Poeciliidae.